Non-coding RNA from Aedes aegypti (yellow fever mosquito), 117 nucleotides. NCBI's taxonomy places the organism in Eukaryota, Metazoa, Arthropoda, Insecta, Diptera, Culicidae. The record is from Rfam.
UGCCCAGCAACUUCUGUCCCUACCUCAUCGCGGUACUGGCCGGGGUACGAGUAACCUUAGGGAAAAUUGGGUAACCAACCCCCGGUGGGAACUUUGGUCGUAUGCUGACAGGGAAGG